Long non-coding RNA from Paramisgurnus dabryanus, 721 nucleotides. RefSeq lists it as uncharacterized. Lineage: Eukaryota; Metazoa; Chordata; Actinopteri; Cypriniformes; Cobitidae. The record is from RefSeq and is a predicted model, not a curated record.
UGGUUGUCCUGGUAACUGGUUAAAUGAGCGAGAGCUACAGAUAGUACUCAGACAUCAAGAUCUUUGAAGAAUGAAUGCUAAACAGCAAAUUUGAACUCAUCUGUUUACUAUGAAGUUUCUACAACCGGAAACUGAGGAUAACGUGGAUACUUAGUGACUAAAAGGGCAACGACAAGAAAUGAGCCAUUAUUUUAAACUGAAAAUUCUCUGGAUUUACAAAUCCUUUGGAACUUUAGGUAUAAUUGCUGGCACAUUUUAAGGAUCACCUGUUGCAGGGAACAGAACAUAUGGAUCUAAACUGGAACACUGACAACAUUGUUUAUUGCAGAAAGAGCCAUUUUUCAUCCUGGUUGCUAUGGAAAUGUGCUGAAGAUUUCCAAGGUUAUCCUUAGUUCAAUGAAAACACAUGAGACAUCUUCCUGAAGCCACAUACCAAUGCUUUUCAAGUGUCAGAUGGCAGAACAUUGAUAAAAACAACAGCAAGUUAAUCAAUAAACAGACCUUAAGCUUUGAACCCAUUUUAUAGAAAAACAUAUAACCUUAAUUAUGAACAUUUGUGUGAUCUGUUCAAGAAUAUCUUAUGCAAUGGUCAUUUGGUGCAAUGGUCCAAUUGAGAAAGUCUAUUCAUUUUAGUGUUUUGCAUUAAAUUACUGGCAGAUUAUAAAAACGUGUGAAUUGUGUUCAAAAACUUUGCCUAGUUGUCACUGGGGCAGCACCCUUU